Molecule: small nucleolar RNA, 80 nt
Filed under: Piloderma croceum F 1598
Lineage: Eukaryota; Fungi; Basidiomycota; Agaricomycetes; Atheliales; Atheliaceae
Description: Small nucleolar RNA snR56
Rfam family: Small nucleolar RNA snR56
Source: Rfam by way of RNAcentral
UUUCAGGAUGAUAACAUCUCAGACCUGUACCGAGCCCUGACGGGGAUGCGGAUACUCUAUAUUGCCUUUGUUUUCUGAUU